RNAcentral lists this ribosomal RNA (524 nucleotides) under Fusarium oxysporum. Its description in RNAcentral is "eukaryotic LSU rRNA". The stretch from base 169 to 322 matches the Rfam family "5.8S ribosomal RNA". The record is from RNAcentral. Lineage: Eukaryota; Fungi; Ascomycota; Sordariomycetes; Hypocreales; Nectriaceae.
CGUUGUCGCGGUAGGUCAUUACCGAGUUUACACUCCCAAACCCCUGUGAACAUACCACUUGUUGCCUCGGCGGAUCAGCCCGCUCCCGGUAAAACGGGACGGCCCGCCAGAGGACCCCUAAACUCUGUUUCUAUAUGUAACUUCUGAGUAAAACCAUAAAUAAAUCAAAACUUUCAACAACGGAUCUCUUGGUUCUGGCAUCGAUGAAGAACGCAGCAAAAUGCGAUAAGUAAUGUGAAUUGCAGAAUUCAGUGAAUCAUCGAAUCUUUGAACGCACAUUGCGCCCGCCAGUAUUCUGGCGGGCAUGCCUGUUCGAGCGUCAUUUCAACCCUCAAGCACAGCUUGGUGUUGGGACUCGCGUUAAUUCGCGUUCCCCAAAUUGAUUGGCGGUCACGUCGAGCUUCCAUAGCGUAGUAGUAAAACCCUCGUUACUGGUAAUCGUCGCGGCCACGCCGUUAAACCCCAACUUCUGAAUGUUGACCUCGGAUCAGGUAGGAAUACCCGCUGAACUUAAGCAUAUCAUA